ACUGCGACGCCAAGCUUUCAUUAUUUUUUGAAUAUACAUAGUUCAAUAAGGAAGACACGAGCCUGAACACGCUGUCAGCUGUCGAUGUAUUUUUAUUAUAUUUUACAUAUAUACAUAAAUGGCGUCAAACUUAAAUCUUCCGUUAAUUUUGGGACACCCUGUAUAAUCAAGCUAACAAUGCGACAAAUCAGAAAUCGAAAGAAAUCAGCUGACAUUUAUUCGCUGAAUUAAGGAAAAUAACUUAACAAUGAUGUUCGAAUCUUGUGCAAUAAAAGUUCUUAGAGGUCGGAAUAUGAAGGUCGAAUAAAUCAAGUUUGCGCAAUACGAUAACCAAUGGUUUUUGGUCUAAGAAGAGAAGGUGGAAACCCGAAAUGAUCGAGUUUAAAGUGAAGUAAAGAAUGCGAGACCUUGUCAAAUGCUUUGCUGAAGUCAGUGUAGAUAAGAUCUGUUUGAUUACCAUUUUUGAAACCAUUGCUGACAUGGGUGGUGAAAUCUAGCAGGUUCGAUUGCAAAACCCAUGUUGUGAGAUGUCUAUAAUUGAUGACACUGAAUGGGUAUAUGGUAUAUAUAGAGAUUCAGCACAAAAUGUAACUACUCUAGUAGGAACUAGGACCGCAUGUGAGUGAGCGCUUAAGGGCAUUAAAAUGGUGAUAAACAACAUCAGAGGAUAUAUGUGAUACUGGUAUUGCCAUAAAAUCUUUCCCUCGCAACAUAUUUUUAUUCUAUUCAUGCAAUAAAUAAUUUACUGUCAGAAUUCUCACAAUCAAGCAAUUAAAUGAAGGAUUUAUUUAGUUUGAAGAAAUAUAAAGUAUUUAAGA
Ceratitis capitata (Mediterranean fruit fly) is the source of this 818-nucleotide long non-coding RNA. RefSeq lists it as uncharacterized. The transcript has 3 exons. The record is from RefSeq and is a predicted model, not a curated record. Lineage: Eukaryota; Metazoa; Arthropoda; Insecta; Diptera; Tephritidae.